AGAGUUUGAUCCUGGCUCAAGAACGAACGCUGGCGGCAUGCCUAACACAUGCAAGUCGAACGAAGUCUUCGGACUUAGUGGCGCACGGGUGCGUAACGCGUGGGAAUCUGCCCUUGGGUGCGGAAUAACUUCUCGAAAGGGAUGCUAAUACCGCAUAAUGUCGUAAGACCAAAGAUUUAUCGCCCAAGGAUGAGCCCGCGUAAGAUUAGCUAGUUGGUGGGGUAAAAGCCUACCAAGGCGACGAUCUUUAGCUGGUCUGAGAGGAUGAUCAGCCACACUGGGACUGAGACACGGCCCAGACUCCUACGGGAGGCAGCAGUGGGGAAUAUUGGACAAUGGGCGAAAGCCUGAUCCAGCAAUGCCGCGUGAGUGAUGAAGGCCCUAGGGUUGUAAAGCUCUUUUACCAGGGAUGAUAAUGACAGUACCUGGAGAAUAAGCUCCGGCUAACUCCGUG
Molecule: ribosomal RNA, 454 nt
Filed under: uncultured bacterium
Lineage: Bacteria
Description: bacterial SSU rRNA
Rfam family: Bacterial small subunit ribosomal RNA
Source: RNAcentral